UUUUCAGGACAAACUGAAUGGGAGGGUUUGCAUUCAGUGGGAUGGAGAGGCAUGAGAAUUGCUAUAUCUUUGUAAAUUAAUACCCGAAUCUCCUAUGGUCUAACUUGGAAAAUGUUGUCAAUCAGCGUUCUUGUGCUUUCCAUUUCAAUUGUAAGGGAUACUGUUUGUGCAGUGGUCUCCAUUCCAUAAAAGGAUCUUGUCUUCAAAGUAGAUUUUUUUCUCUUCUGAGGAUAUUUGUGUGUAUCAAUUUUGCCCCAAAAUUGCUGUUGUGGGAUUGCAGAACAAAAUAUGCAUUCAGUCAAGGGAAUUUCAUUUAGGCUAUGAAAUGCUGAAUUUGAUUGUGACCACUUACCUUUUUUUCAUAAGUGGAGAAAAAAGACUUAUUUAUGGGAGCUCUUACUUGAAAUUGUGAGAAGUCAGAAACGUUCUUCAGAUUGACUUACUCUUCAUGUUGUUCUAUAUAGGCUGGAGAAAGUAACCUAAUUGUUAUUUAUUCAUACAGUAUCACUUUUAUGAUGAUCCUCGUGACUUAUAAAACCUUUUUAGAAAAACAAAGCUUCUAGUACUGAACAGAAAUUUGAAAUUUUUAAUUUUUUUUAUUACCUUUCAUAUAACAAAGUUGAUGCUCCCCCAGGCAUCCCUCUCCCUUUCCUUCUCCCCACAAUUUGUUUCUGGCACAUAUGCAUGUAGGCAAAAGGUAGGGAGGUGGAAGUUGUCAGAGGCCUUUUCUUCUGCUUAUUUGGUGGUAAUGGGAAUUAGGAGCAUAAAUCUUUAUGCCUUUAUGGAGGAGAAGAGACCCAUUUUUGUGUACAGAGAGAUAUAUCUGUAUAUGAGAUAAUGGUAGCAUUUUGCUGAAUAUGGACUUGCCCUCGUGAUGUACAAUAAAUAUAUAUGAAUGCAAUCAAUCUAAAUCUAUAUAUACAUAUAUACAGAUUGAUAAGUGGAAUAUACCUUGUAUCACACACCUGUACGUUAUCUGUAACAUGAGUGAGUGUGUGAGCUAAAGAGAGGGACUAUCCACAUAACAUAUGUGUAACAGGUAAGCACUUGUGCCAGACAAGUUGUUUUAAAUUCUUCUGAGGGAUCUGGAUGACGCAGAGACUGAUCUGAGCUUGGCCACCAUUGGUUUGUGUUACCUCAGCCCUCGCAGUGCAGUUUCCUUGCUAUGUCUCUGCUUUGUUUUAGAUUUAGUCUCAUUGAGACCUCUUGCAAAAUGCCAACUUCUUCUUCUUCUCUGCUCCAUUGCCUCCAUUCCAGCUCCUCCUUGUCCCUGCAUCUCUGAAGUUUCUCUUGCUAGCAGCAAUCAGCUUUAAUGGCCCAAUCCAGCUCUGCUUGUGCAUGAGGGAAAUUCUCUUGGUGACUGGAGUGGUAGCUGAAUUGGGCCCUGAAUAUCUGCUUGAACUUAUGCAAACUUCCCCAGCUUCAAUUGUGAUUCAGUAGGACUGUGACUGAUUUGCAGAUGAAUACAAACUUUUCAUGGAAUCUGAUGCAGAGCUUCCUAGCAUAUUAAAAGGUUAACCGAGCAUUAUAUUUAAAUGGUCAAAAUGAGAAAAUUGCACCCACCAAAUUUUCAACCCUAGCGAGAAAAAAGAAGGUUGUUUUGUGUUUCCCAUAACACAGGCAGUAAGCAGAAGGCAGCCUUGUGCUCUGUUCUGAGCAAUGGGGUUGUCAUCAAACAUAUCAAAAGAAACACAGUUUGUUACACCUUACCAUAAAACAGAUUUUUAGAUGUAGUGCAGAGUUGACCAUUAACAUGCUAGCACUUUGCAUCUAAUUGUGUAUUGGGUAAUAUUGCUUAUGCAAGUAAAUUAUAGACUUAAGUGUUCUGUUUUCUGUCUAAAUGGAACUUCUAUAUCCUUUUAGCAGAAAGCAGCUGUCAUCAACCUGCUCAGUCACAUUGAAGUACUGUGUAUCUUAGGCUUCAGUUUCAGAGGAGAAUGCUGCUCCAUUUCUGUCAUCAAGCCAUACUGGAUUCCAUGUUUUCAAUAUGGCUAUGACACAAUUUUUCUUGGCCACAAUUCAGCCAUGGAAUUUUGUCUUCCUUGAUUUCUGUUAGAAAAAGGUAACUGGUGUACUGUUCCAUCUGAGCUUUCAUGCAGUCAUACAUGACUUCUAUGAUACAUAUGUUGGGGCGUGUGUAUGGGUAUGUCUGUGUACUGCGUGUGGAUAAUGUAGAUUGAUACGCACACGCCUAUUAUGCUACUUCAGUUUAUGUAUGUGGAGAAUGUACCUGUUGGUUAUCUCCUGAUAUAUACUCAUGCAUACCUAUAUUAAAUAUGUAUAUAGAGUGUAGAUGUCCUGCAUAUACAUGUGUAUAUGUUAUGAAACUUGGUUGGCAAUUUUUUUCCACAGUUUUUUUUCUUUUUGCAAAUUGCUGUCCCUUAUUACUUAUUUUCACUAAAGCUGCAUUAUAUAGAAGAAAUGGAGAAAUGUGUUAUCAAAGUUUUAUUUUAAAAAGGAGACUUUUAAUUAUCUAAAGCCAUUUGUAAUUGUCUUUUGAAUUUUUACUAGAAGGGUUGUUUUUUAAAAAGGAAAAGAAAAAAAAAAGGAAACAAAAACCAAAAGCAAGCGGACAAGCCCCUAUUCCCACUCUCAUUUAGGUGAAAGAAAUGGAAAUACAAGUUUCUAAGUAUUUAUUUCCUUCAGGUGUUUCUGAGGCAUACAGUAAUUGCAUUCUGCCCCCAUCGCCCUUUUGUCCAAUUAUAAUAAAUGAUUCAUGAUUUUCUUUUUCCCUCAUUACUUUUGUAAAUCAUUGUUCACCUCCUACAUUCAAUAGUACUGAUAUCACUAAGGAGAUUUCAUGUCCUUCUGUCCUUUUUAGGAGAAAUACCAGUGCAUCACUAUUGUGUUUCAUUUUAACAUACUUUGUGGAGGAUGGAUGUUUUUAUUGAAGAUGUCUGUAACCCGUCUAACUUAUUUAAUGUGAGAAGCCUUCAUUGGAAUCUAUCGUCUGUUUGUUUCCAACAAGCUCAAGUUUCUGCAACUGUUUUUUCACCAACACGUUAAAUAAUUCCCUUGUUUUAUGCCUGAGGUUUUAAAAUUUGGGUUUGUUUUUUGGCUUUUUUCCCUCCAAUUCCCAAUAAUAUUUAUCUGCAAGUGGAGCAAAACAGAUGUCAGAAGCUCAACCAAUAUCCUUUUUGCAGUUCAGGGUAAAUAUAUUUAUCCUAGACUUAAUAAAAGAAGGUGGCAAAUGGACAAUCUGAAGUGCUUAGAGGGAAUGCUCUAUCUUUUUAAGGCUGUCUCCGAGAAGUUUGUGUUUGGUGUCAUUUUAAAGGUAGCUUGAUCAUGCUUUGAUAUCAGAAACAGCCUUGUAACAAAGAGCCUCAUACAGUUGUUCGGUCACUAGAGUUUAAAAUGUAAACAAGUUGCAGUGGGAAAGCAAAGGUGAGGCAGUGUAUUUUGAACCAGUGAAUUGUAGCUUGCAAAUGUACCUGAUUUUGAAGUAACUGCAUGGUAGCAAGGAUUAGCAGUCUCUUACACCCCUUCCUUCUUCCCUCUCAUAUCUGACACAUGUGUUCAGCAUACCAUACAUUGGGAAAAAUAAGCAACUUCCUCCAGCAACGCUAAUCCACUUAAUGACUGCUUAAAGGGAACAUACAAACGGCACUGCCGCGUCCCGGCUCAUGGUGUUAGCUGGAAGCCUGGCUAAACGCACAAACAGCCCAGCCCAGCUUGCUUCUGUGCACGUGUCGCUUGGGGAGAGUGUGGUGCAUGGAGGUGCCCCAGAGAAGGAUUCCUUCCUUCAGGGUCCCUGGCAGCAAUGGCAACCUGUACCACUGCUUCUAGUGCUGGAGGCACACGGACAGCAUUCCAGGGGCGGGGAGGAAAGCUUGUGUUUGUACUUUCCCUUUAAAUAGGAAAGGUUGGCUCACAUGUUCCUCAUACUUCUCAAUGAAUGUACUGUAUUACCAUUUAAAAAAAAAAAUCAAUUAAAUGAUAAUAGAUUGGUCUCCUUUUGUUAUCUGGUCCUUGUUUAAUUUGUUUAAGGGUUUUUGUAUACAAAAGUUUACAUUUUUAUGUAUAUUUUUCUUGUGUAAAAACUGAUGUAAUAUGUGUAUAAAACACUGUAUGUAUUAUCUGUAUAUAGUGUGACAAAAUGAUUUUCUUUCUUUCUUUUGGAUGUAUUAAUAAAUC
This is a long non-coding RNA of Taeniopygia guttata (zebra finch), 4134 nucleotides long. Lineage: Eukaryota; Metazoa; Chordata; Aves; Passeriformes; Estrildidae. The record is from Ensembl.